UACGUAGGGUGCAAGCGUUAAUCGGAAUUACUGGGCGUAAAGCGUGCGCAGGCGGUUGUGUAAGACAGAUGUGAAAUGCCCGGGCUUAACCUGGGAACUGCAUUUGUGACUGCACGACUAGAGUGUGUCAGAGGGGGGUAGAAUUCCACGUGUAGCAGUGAAAUGCGUAGAUAUGUGGAGGAAUACCGAUGGCGAAGGCAGCCCCCUGGGCUGACACUGACGCUCAGGCACGAAAGCGUGGGGAGCAAACGGG
RNAcentral lists this ribosomal RNA (253 nucleotides) under uncultured bacterium. RNAcentral's name for it is "partial 16S ribosomal RNA". It matches the Rfam family "Bacterial small subunit ribosomal RNA", at positions 524 to 776 of the family's 1533-position model. The record is from RNAcentral.